CCUACGGGGGGCUGCAGUGAGGAAUAUUGGUCAAUGGGCGUAAGCCUGAACCAGCCAAGUCGCGUGAGGUAUGAAGGUUCUAUGGAUCGUAAACCUCUUUUAUAAGGGAAUAAAGUGUGGGACGUGUCCUAUUUUGUAUGUACCUUAUGAAUAAGGAUCGGCUAACUCCGUGCCAGCAGCCGCAGUAAUACGGAGGAUCCGAGCGUUAUCCGGAUUUAUUGGGUUUAAAGGGUGCGUAGGCGGCCUUUUAAGUCAGCGGUGAAAGUCUGUGGCUCAACCAUAGAAUUGCCGUUGAAACUGGGGGGCUUGAGUAUGUUUGAGGCAGGCGGAAUGCGUGUUGUAGCGGUGAAAUGCUUCGAUAUCACGCAGAACCCCGUUUGCGAAGGCAGCCUGCCAAGCCAUGACUGACGCUGAUGCACGAAAGCGUGGGGAUCAAACAGGAUUAGAUACCCCUGUAGUC
Molecule: ribosomal RNA, 460 nt
Filed under: uncultured bacterium
Lineage: Bacteria
Description: partial 16S ribosomal RNA
Rfam family: Bacterial small subunit ribosomal RNA
Source: RNAcentral